This is a long non-coding RNA of Cuculus canorus (common cuckoo), 2949 nucleotides long. RefSeq lists it as uncharacterized. The transcript has 3 exons. The record is from RefSeq and is a predicted model, not a curated record. Lineage: Eukaryota; Metazoa; Chordata; Aves; Cuculiformes; Cuculidae.
CUGAGCAUUGUGGUGAGUGCAAGUGGGAUGCUGUGGCUAUGGAGCUGCAGGAGGGAGUGGGAAUUUCCUUGGGACUUGGACCCUCAGCUCCUCCAAGCCCCGUGUGCUCCGUGCUGGCCGUGUAGCGUGCACUAGGCAUUCAUUUCUUAAGAACAUCAGCCUUUCAAGUCCAUUUUAAUUAUUAUUUGAUCAGUGCAUCUCAAAUCUGAAAAUAUCAGCUGGUAACACCACCUUCUACUGCAAAGCUGCAGACAGAGAAGGAUCAAUGUCCCUUCCAGAGCGCAAUGCCGAGUGUUUAAUCACAAUUAUUCAAUACAGCCAGGACCAGCUCCACUGGGCUGCUUAGCACUGUGUGCCUUGGCUCGGGCUCAGCUGGGCUGUGCUCAGAGACCCCUUUUGCAGAGUUUAAGAUCCAGUGAACACAGAGGGGUCUCCACAGGGUCUUGGGCUGCUGGUAAUGCAGCAAAGCACCCUGCACAGCGUGGAAAAUGCUGGUGAGACCCAAGAAGGAGUUGGAGGUUCCUCCUCUGGUGGGCUUAGUUUCUCUCUCAUCUUUAUUUUUCCCUCCCCCUCUCCUUGAAGCUCUCUGAAACAAGUGCUGUUUUAUUGCAGAUAAUUUACCAGCUGCACAAAGGCUGCCUUGUGCCGCUGAGCUCCAGAUGUUUAACAUUUCACAAAUCCCCCUAAUCAUAAGGUACCUGUUUCACUGGAGGACCAGCUGACCUGGAUGAGGAGAGAAGCUGCCUUCCAGCCUUUCCCUUCCCUUUCACAGGCAGCUGCCAGCAGAUCCUAGUUCUCGAGAGAGCAGAUAAUAGCGGGUGCAUCGUAGGGGACUUGGAGUCACAGUUCAUGCUGCUGUGGUUUGGGGCACAGUGGCUGUGGAGUGGGACCAGUGUGGCUUUGCCUGAGAUGUGCUCGACAGGAGAAAUUUCAGAGGCUGUUGCCUUUCACUAAAUCCUUUUGCAGAGUCUCUCCGCAGUGGAUCAGCCUCCGAUGGCUCUGUUGGAAGGUGCCUACAGGUAAGGCAGGUAGGAAUAUCUGUUUCCUAGCUGUGACCCCUGCUCGUGGAGAAUGGGCAUCUCCAGGAUGGGUGAUGCUGCCUCAGCAAAAACAGGUGCCCCAGAGAAAAGAGCUGGAAGAGUUUAGACCAGGGAUCCAGGGAUUUUGCUGGCUGUGGGGACAGUGGUCUGCAGGUCUUGGUUGUCUGCAGCAGCUCUGGCACAGGCUCAGGUGUCCAGCUGCUCCGCAGCUCUGUUCUGCGCAGUGAGAGCAUGCCCCUGUCCCGAGGCUGUGCGAGGAUCCCCGCGCCACUGCCCUCACCGAGCUGCCACACCGCUGGAGGUGCUGGGCUCCUCCACAAAAAGGUGGCCCCAGGUCCCCACUCUCAGCUAGGGACCCGCUCCUGCAGAGUCCUCAGGGCUGUGGUCCUGUGGGAGAUCAGUUCCCUGGCUCUGCUCCAUCCCCACCCCAUUCCUUUGACUCCAAUCCCUUAAUUGUUUCAAAAAAAAAAAAAAAGCACAUGGCAAAAGGCAGGGAGAUAAUUAUAGUCCCUUGCCCCCCCUUAUCUCUGGGGAGAGCAUGUUGGGCAAAUAGAAAACAGAGAAUUAAUUCUGGUGGUGGCUGGGGCUCCGUGGACCAGGCUCUGAACGGCAGGUAGGGCUGAUUUACUGCCGUUGUUCACAGCUAUAUUCAGCAUUUUAUUGCAACUAUAAUUAUUGUUCUCUGUCAGGAUCUCAGGGAGACAUCGGGCCAGCACCAGGCAUUCCCUGUUCCUCUGGGCUGAGGGCUGGGCAAGCAGGACUGUCCCUGGCAUGUCCCACCCUGGCUGAGGAGGGCAGAUGAUGCUACUCAGUGUCCCCAGGCAUUUGGGGGCAUGGAAUCACAGAAUAGUGGGGGUUGGAAGCAACCUGAGGAGAUCCUUCAGUCCGACCGCCCUGCUAAAGCAGGGUCACCCAGAGCAGGUUGCACAAGAAGGCAUCCAGGUGGGAUUGGAUCUCUCUGGAGAAGGAGAUUCCACAGCCUCUCGGAGCAGCCUGUUGCGGUGCUCUGUCACCCUCAGAGUAAAGGUUUUUCUUGUGUUGAGGUGGAACUUCCUCUGCUCCAGUUUGUACCUCUUGCCCCUUGUCCUGUCUCUCAGCACCACUGAAGAGUCUGGCCCCAUCUUCCUGACCCCCACCCUUUAGAUAUUCAUCAGCAUUGAUGGAAUCCCUUCUGUCUUCUCUUUUCUAGGCUAAAUAGACCUAGGUCUUUUGACCUUUCCUCCAGAAAGAGGUCCCCUCAUCAUCUCUAUGGCCUCCAUUGGACUCUCUCCAGUUGUUCCAUAUCUUUCCUGAGCUGAGGAGCCCAGCACUGGACACAGGACUCCAGGAUGCCGGGGUGAGGAGGAGAUUGCCCAUGUGCUGUGGAGGAGAGCAGAACAGCCCCUCUUGCUCACUUGUCCUGGAAAAUUUCUGUGGUUUCACUUCAGCAACGCUCCUGAGCUUAUGAAGAGAAAUCCUGACCUGGUGCAGGUGGGAAAACGCUGGAUCUGGGUUCCUGUCGCCGUGCAGCCGAUGGAGUGGGACAUUGCCCACCUGGAGCCAAGCCUGGUGGCCAGCUGGGUGAAGGGUGUGCAGGAUCAUCCCUCUCCCCUGCCCAACAUCCAGUCCUCCCUUUGGCAGAGGGGCUGUGCCUGGAGAGGGCACUGGGCACAGUGGCAUUGGCCACCUGCUUUGUGCUUGGUGUCCCUCUUAGGGCAUUUCCCUGCACUGUACAAACCUCUGGAUGCAGUUAAAAGCACGUGGUUUCACAGAGCAGCAGGGAAUUGUGUGGGACAAGACCCCAUCCUGUGAGGACGUGGGGGUGACUUUGCCUGGCCCAAGCGAGCUUGCAAGAAUGAGCCUUAAAUUAGCUCCUAAGUCAACAGCACAGUUAAUUGCUCAUUCAUUCCACUGAUGGGUUAAUAAUUAA